This 450-nucleotide ribosomal RNA is filed under the name uncultured bacterium. RNAcentral's name for it is "partial 16S ribosomal RNA". It matches the Rfam family "Bacterial small subunit ribosomal RNA", at positions 354 to 796 of the family's 1533-position model. The record is from RNAcentral.
GUGGGGAAUAUUGGACAAUGGGCGAAAGCCUGAUCCAGCCAUGCCGCGUGUGUGAAGAAGGUCUUCGGAUUGUAAAGCACUUUAAGUUGGGAGGAAGGGCAGUAAGUUAAUACCUUGCUGUUUUGACGUUACCGACAGAAUAAGCACCGGCUAACUUCGUGCCAGCAGCCGCGGUAAUACGAAGGGUGCAAGCGUUAAUCGGAAUUACUGGGCGUAAAGCGCGCGUAGGUGGUUUUGUAAGUUGGAGGUGAAAUCCCAGGGCUCAACCUGGGAACUGCCUUCAAAACUGCAUGACUAGAGUGCUGUAGAGGGUAGUGGAAUUUCCUGUGUAGCGGUGAAAUGCGUAGAUAUAGGAAGGAACACCAGUGGCGAAGGCGACUACCUGGACUGAUACUGACACUGAGGUGCGAAAGCGUGGGGAGCAAACAGGAUUAGAAACCCUGGUAGUCC